Molecule: unclassified non-coding RNA, 215 nt
Filed under: Ascomycota sp.
Lineage: Eukaryota; Fungi; Ascomycota
Description: partial contains small subunit ribosomal RNA, internal transcribed spacer 1, and 5.8S ribosomal RNA
Rfam family: Eukaryotic small subunit ribosomal RNA (bases 1-47)
Source: RNAcentral
AAAGUCGUAACAAGGUCUCCGUUGGUGAACCAGCGGAGGGAUCAUUACAGGAUUUAUACAUCCCAAACCAUCGUGAACAUACCUCUUGUUGCUUCGGCGGUGCCGCCCCCGGGCGCCCGCCGAAGGACCCGAACCUCUGUAUUUACAUGUGGAAUAUCUGAGUGGCUUAAUGCAAAAACGAAUCAAAACUUUCAACAACGGAUCUCUUGGUUCUG